UGGGGAAUUUUGGACAAUGGGGGCAACCCUGAUCCAGCCAUUCCGCGUGAGUGAAGAAGGCCUUCGGGUUGUAAAGCUCUUUCAGCAGGAACGAAACGGCUCUCUCUAACAUAGGGAGUUAAUGACGGUACCUGAAGAAGAAGCACCGGCUAACUACGUGCCAGCAGCCGCGGUAAUACGUAGGGUGCGAGCGUUAAUCGGAAUUACUGGGCGUAAAGCGUGCGCAGGCGGCGCCAUAAGACAGAUGUGAAAUCCCCGGGCUUAACCUGGGAACUGCGUUUGUGACUGUGGUGCUCGAGUGUGGCAGAGGGGGGUGGAAUUCCACGUGUAGCAGUGAAAUGCGUAGAGAUGUGGAGGAACACCGAUGGCGAAGGCAGCCCCCUGGGUCAACACUGACGCUCAUGCACGAAAGCGUGGGGAGCAAACAGG
Molecule: ribosomal RNA, 429 nt
Filed under: uncultured Sulfuritalea sp.
Lineage: Bacteria; Pseudomonadati; Pseudomonadota; Betaproteobacteria; Nitrosomonadales; Sterolibacteriaceae
Description: bacterial SSU rRNA
Rfam family: Bacterial small subunit ribosomal RNA
Source: RNAcentral